AAAAAAAAAAAAGAAGUAAGAAUGUAGACAUUUAUUUAAAAUUAGAAAUAAGAAAAAUGUAAUAUUUAAAAUUAAAAAGUAUUUAAGGAAAACAAAUUUUUGGUAUGAAGAAAAUGUGGGGAGAAAAGACUGAAAAGUUUGUAGGGCCCUAAAGUCAGCAGUCAUAAAUAAGAAACAGUCAAAUGAAAUAUAUAUAUAAAAAUUGAAUAAAUACAGAGUUUCUGUUAUAUUUCUCAGUCAUAAUUAGUAUAGAUUCAUAAAACAAAUAAUAAUAAUAAUAAUUUAAAAAACUUCUUUUUUUUUAAUAAAAAAGUACAGAAAUUUGUACAACAAAUAACACACCUGCAUGUUAUGUGCCAAAUCCAGAGAACCUAAGCCACUUGUCAUCAUUUUUAUAUUCUUUAUUCUCUUUCUUUUUUUCUUUUCAUAAUUUUUGUUUAUGUAUAUAUAUAUAUAUAUAUAUAUAACUUAUAAUUUGUGAUUGCAAUGGGUAUGUACAAGGGAAGGAAAUUACCCUAAAAGGCUCUACACUGCCAAUCAAUCUAACUUAUCAUUUAUUUAAUUUAUUUUCCUCUUUUCAAUUUCACUAAUCAAUUCACUACAAACCCCUCUUAAUUUCCUCUUACUUAUUUCUUUCUUGAGAAAAAACACUAUCAAUAUUAAUCUACCAGGAUACAACCAAGAUACUAUACUAAUUUACUUAUUUAACUUGAAAGCAUUUAAGAUGAUGUGCGAACUUGUGAAGGUAAAUUUAGUAUCAUAUUAUUUUACUAUUUGAGAAAAAAAAAAAAAAAACCUAUUGCAUUAAUUAAUUCUUCCAAAUGUUUUAUACCCUCUCCUCUAUCUGUAUUAAUUAAUUCAUUUAUUCAUUCAUGAAAUCAUUACUUUUUUUCUCUUCUAUCCCUCCCUAAUUUCUUCUAUAAGAUUUUAGCUAUGGUACUAAGAGUCUUUGCUCAAACCAUAAAUGGAUUGUACUAAAAAAAUCUCUUUCUAAAAUCGUUCUAAUGAAUGUUUGUGUUUGUUUUUCUUCUUCUUAUUAAUUUACUUCUUGAUGGUCAGCUGGCUAACUUCUUUUCAAUGGAUUAAGGUAGAUGUAUGUUGUCAACCUUUAAAGGUAAUAUAUUUCAAUAAAAGUGUUUUUUUUUUUUUCUAGACCACAAUAUUUUUUACAAACUAGGUUUUUAAAAUUAAAUAUUCUAUACACACUACUCUAUUAAUUGAUAUUAGUUUCUUUUACCUUUUAAUUUCAUUUUACAGCGUCAACUAUAGGAGUCUAAUGAAUUGAAGUUUGAUUUAAAUAAUACUUUCAACUUCUGUAUAUUUUCUCUAUUUCACUCGUUAUUUCAUACUUUUUAGUUAUUUGGUUCAUUUAUUGUAAAAUAUUUUCACAUGCACAGUAAAAACCUUUAAAACAAUUUUAUGGCUACAUUUUAUUGAAAUUAAAUUUAGUCAACAUAGUGUAAUAUAUACUAAAGAUUUUGAUAGAAAAAUCACGAAAUAAAAAUAAAAAUGAAAGAACAGAAUUGAUCGUUUCAUUUUUAAGAAGCUGGAGAACCUUACAAUAAUUUAUGUGGUAAAUUAAUGAAUUAAUUUAAAGAAAAUUGGGGAUGAGAAUGAAUAUUUAGUUGAUAAAAGUGAUUGGGAGAUGCAUAAAAUUAAACAUGGUGCAACAAAACGUCGAACCGACACCAUAUUGACAGAAAUUCUCCGGUGACCCAUUGUAGUUAGAGACCCAUCCAAUCAUUCUCUUCAAAAUAUUUGAAUGGAAAAAUUCAAUAUGAGACAUUUGGAAAGACAAAGAAGAAGCAUCCAAGUUUUUUUGGUUGGGUGUUGAGAGACAAAAUUAAAGCCCUUUCAUUAGACAAAAAUGAGGUCAAAUGUAACCUAACCCUCCUUACCCUAUUUUUAUUUAUAUGUGUGUAUGUGUAUAUAUAUCAUAAAUAUUGGAGUCAAGUCAGGACAAAAUGAAGAAAAAUCAAAUUCUUGAAUUUUUCUAAUCUCUUACCAAAGAAAUUUGACAUACUUUCUAAGUUUUGAAAUUUUGAAUACGAGAAUUACUUUAAAAUUAGAGCCAAUGUAUUUGAAUUUCUAGAUAGAUUGAUUUAAGACUUUGAAAGGAAGGAAAAGUAUUCAUAUAUGGUAAAUAUAGAAGAGAGAGUACAAUUUUUGUACACUAGGAAGAGUAGUGUAAUAUCCAUGUAUCACAUGUAAAAUGUUGGGCUUAUAUAAACCAUCAAAUACGAAAUAAAUAUUAAAUAUUUUCUUGAUUAAAUUUGUGAUGUAAAUUUAAAUAAUAAUUAAAAUUGAAAGUAUGACAACUAUCUAUUACCCUUUGCUUUUUGGUUUGAAAUUUUAGUUUACAAAUAUUACUUUCAUUCAAAUGUUUCUCUUUCUUUUGAUUUUAAUUUCUACAUUCAAAAGAUUUUCUCAAAUUUAAAAUCUACUGAAAAUAUAAUCUAAAAUAAGUUUGCAAAAAUAGUAAAAAUAUCAUGAAAAGUGGGAGUAGAUAUUAUUUAAAAAUCAAACUAAAUUAAAAUAAAUAAAUAUAUAUAUAUAUCUAAACAAUUGAGAAGUUUAUUGUUUUUCGUAGAGUUCAUGCAGCAUCCCAAUUUUGUCAUAUAUUAUAAACUUAGUUUUUAGCCUUAGCUUACAUGUUUAAACCUUUCUAGAUGGAUGGUUAUAUUUAAUUCAUGGCCGUAAAACGAUGUAAUAAAUAACAUUUUAAAAAAAAUUCAAUACGUAAGAUUUUCUUGAAAAACUGUAUUAGAUGAUAAAAGAAAAAAUCUACAUCACAUUCUUUUUUGUUUACCGUAGAUAUGACAAAUAAUUAAUGAUAUUAGGGUUAUUCAAUUUUUAAUUUUCUACUUUUUCAAUUUAAAAAAAUGCGCUGACAUAUUACACUCUAAUGUAAUAAAUUCUUUUUGCUAUUUUCGCAAUUAAGAUUAAAUUUGGAUAUUUAUAAUUUCUUGAUUUUAUUAUCACAUUUUAUAGUGUACACUCUAUUUCUGAUUUCCUUUGUCAAAUAUGUAAAGAGAUAUUUGAAAAUUUACUUUUUACAUUUCAGCAUGUUACAAUUUUUUAUCAAUGAUAUUUGAAUGUCGUAUCAACCUUAUUCCUAAGUUUUAAAAUUUAUUAUUUUUAAGUUCUUUAAACAAUAGUUAAUUUUAAAAAAAUUUAUAAACUUUUAAAAAUAAUAAAUUUGAUCAAAUAUUCACAACAUAUAGCAAAAUUUCAGAUUCUGUCAAUAAUAGAAAUUGAUAGACAUUAAUAUUCUUUUAUUAGUGACAUUAAUAGACAAUGAUAGAAUCCAACAUUUUGCUAUAACUUGUAAAUAUUUUAAUUUAUUUUGUUAUUUUUAAAAAUAUUUCUAAAAUUAGGAGGGUUCUGUUUUUUUCUUUAACUGUUAAUAUAAUUUUUCAGUGUAGAAGGGUUUAUAAACUUAAUUUUCAAAAUAAAAAUUAGACUAAAAUGAAACUUACAAUUUAAAAAAAUGAAUUAAAUUGUGAUCUUUGGAACUUAGGACAGACGGAAUCCAAAAUUUAGAACUAAAGUAUACUUUUUGUAAAAGAGAAAACAAUAUGAAAAGUACAUAUCCGAUAUAAUACGAACAAAGAAUUUACUAAAGUAACUUUACAUUACUUUUGUAGGUUAAGUUCAAAGACUUAAUUAAAAGUAAUUACUUUAAUUUAAUCAAUUUUGGAAGUGGGUAAAUUAAUUAAUGUUAAUAUAAUAUAUUUUAUUUUUUAAAAAAAGGAUUAAUUUGUCAAUUAACAACACAUAGCCACCAAAGAAUUAUGGCCCACAAUAUAGUUUCCACCAAAGACCCAACCGAUUAUAUACAUAUUAUUAACAAACUAUAUAUUAUUAAUAUAUACCAACUUCAAAGUACUAUUAAAAUCAAUAUAAUAUCGUAAUUGUCCUAAUUAAUUAUGUCAUCAAACUAAACUUUUUUAUGCAAAAUCCAUCAAUUUGACAAGUGGUACAACCACAAGUGGAGUUCAUAUUCUCUCAAUUUUUUCUUUAUUAUGAGACUUUAAUUUACUAAAACUUGCUCAUAUACAGCUUGAUUACCACUUUACAUAUUAAUUAAACAAAAUAAUGUAUGUGUGGACACUAACCCACUACUGAUAGUUCAGUGUUUUAAGAUUUCUAUUUAAAGUAUAAAUUUCUCUAUCUUAAACUCAAAUUAAAUAAAUAAACAAAAUCUUUACUUCCACCAACAUGUAUCACCUUUAUUUAUAUAUAUAAUUCAUUCAUUUAUGUUGAUAGGGUGAAAUAUAAUUAUUUGGGAUGACCUUGGAUGUAUACACACACCACUCUUCUUAAUUAUUAUUAUUGUUGUUAUUGUUAUUAAAUUUACUAUUAAUGUUUGAUUUCUUUUUUUCAGUCAAAUCAUUGAAUUUGAAUAAUAAAAUGAUGAUGUGAUACUUAAAAGCUAUGCAUUUGCUAUCAUCUUUAUUUUUAUUUCCAUGGAGUUUUUUAUUUGAGGAAAAUAUGAAGUAAUGUUUUGGAAUGAUAUAUAUUUUCCGGACCGACUUGAAAAUAUAAAAGUAGAUUAGAGUUUGAGCUUCUGUUUUUUUUAAGAAAGAUGUAUUAAUUACCAUAAACAAUAUUGUCCGUCUCGAUCACACGAAAAAGAAACACAUGAAGACAAUAAAGAAAAUUUGACCUAAGAAUGGACUACAUCAUUACAUCUUCGGAAAGAGUAAGUCAAACCUCGAACAUUUGACCGACUAAUAAGAUCAACUACUUUAGUGUAAAGAAUAUAAUCCUUCAACUAUACAAUGUAGGAAAAUAAGAGAUUCAAGCUUUUAAUCCUUUGAUUACUAACAUUAUAUCUUAAUCGAAUAUCACUGUAACGAUUACUGUCAUGGGAUUGUUAACCUUAAUUCAACACAAGGGAUAAAAAAAACGAGAUGAUGCAAAGAAAGUUGAGAUAGGAGAAUUGAAGGAGACAGUGAAUGGAAUAUAAUAGAAUGGUGUUUUUCUUUUCUCUUCUUCUUCUUCUUCUUUUUUUUUUGGGGGGGUUGAAAAAGAAAAUAAUGAAUAAAUAAAUAAAUAAGGAAGAGAUGGCAUAAGAAAACAAAACCUUAGUUGGAUAGAGAAAGUCAAAUAAUUGGGACAAAAUUAGUGAUGAAUUGGAUUUGCUUGGGGAAAGCUGUUUUUUUCUUUAAUUUUGUUGUGUGGUUUUUGGAAGAUGGAGAAAUCUAGUUUGGGUUCCAGCUAUCAUUUUGCUUUUUUUCAUACCUUUUUUAGUGAAAGGAGAAAGGGAUAGAGAUCUUCCACUUGCAAUAAUUUUAAUAACAUAUCCAACCUUCUUUCCCCCCCUUUGCUUAUAUGGAUUCUUACAUCUUCAAUUCCUUUUUAAAUCAUAUAUAUCCUUAACUUCCUAUCACCUUUCUUUAAUAAAGAAAAAAAAAACCCAUAACCUUUAUAUUUGCAUCAUCUUAUACAAAACUCAACUAAUCUUAUACAACAAUACUUAUUCUUUCAAACUCUUCAUUUUUGUAUAACUCAGUUGAGUUUGUUUUACUAACUUUUUAGAGAAAGGGAAGUCCUCUCUCGAUCUAGGCUUUUUGUGUUAAUUUUUUCAUGAUUUAUUUAAAUAUCAAUGAAGGAUACUAAUUAAAAUUUGUGUCAACCUAGUUUGGUUAAAUCAGUGCACUUACUGAAUGACAUGCGCUACAUAUAUUUAUUUAGGAAAAAAACCCGAAUAGAUUGAUGAAUAUAUAACCAAACCUUUGACUUUUAGAGAAAAGAGUUGUACAAAAUAUCCUUGACCUAAAUUUACUUUGAUCCUUGAAUUCUUUAUUAAACCCAUAAUCUUCUUUUGAUUGUGAAACGUCCACGAUAAUUCGAUUAGUGAUAACUCCAUGGAAUAUUUUUGAGGUCCCACCUUUAUUAAUAUCAAUACAUUCACGUUUUUGGAUGGAGGAAGAUUUCAUCAUAUCAUAGAUGUAGAACCACAAAUGGUUUUUUGGAUUCAACCAUUUUUGUUUUUAUAAUUAAUUGUAAAGAUAUAUCGUGUAAAUUGUUGAAUAAAAUGAUUUGAAAAUGACAAUCACAAAGAUUUUGAAUUCGGUAUAUCCUUCUUUCUUCCUACGUUACUUUAAAUCUAUCACUUUGUAAUUUUCUUUCUUUCUUUCUUUUUUUAAAAAAAGGGCCAAUAAUGUUUUAUCUACCACAACUAAUUCUAUCCUCCCAAUAAUAAAUUUAUCACUAUCGUUAUUGUAGAUUUUUCUAACAAAGUGUAUAUAUAUAAAAUGAUAGUGAAUAAUUCCAAACAUUAUUCUUAUUUCAAGGGAUGGACUACAGAAAGAGUGGAUUUGGCACUUUCAUAAGUGUGGGAGAGAGCUUGGGUUGUGUAGAGAUUUAAAACAAAAUGGUUCAUGUCCCUGACUUUAUCAGAUUCGAUUUCGAGGGAAGAAGUUAGGGUCAUGUUAAGUGGAAAACCAAACAUUCGACUUCGGGGGAAGAAGUUAGGGUCAUGUUAAUUAUUACUGAACUUAAACUCAUUUUGAAAAAAUUACUUUGAGAUUUUACGUACAUGAUUUUUUUAUGCAAUGAACGAACAUCCUCAUUAAUCAAUACUACUUGGACUCUUUUUGUUAUAUGAAUAAAAUCACUAAAAUAAGAGAAAAUACAUAACUUAGUGUAUAUGAAAGAAUUUGAGACGGGUGACUUCACGAUGUCUCUUCUCUUAGUUUUAAGAAAAUUUUUACUCACUUUAAUGUUUAAGUUUAAUUUAAUGAGUAAUUAUUUUUUUUUAUGAUGUCUCUUAUCUUAGUUUUAAGAAAAAAUUUACUCACUAUAAUGUUCAAGAUUAAUUUAAUGAGUAAUUAUUUUGUUUAUGAUGUCUCUUCUCUUAGCUUUAAGAAAAAUUGUACUCACUUUAAUGUUUAAGUUUAAUUUAACGGGUGAUUAUUUUUUUAUGAUGUCUUCCCAAAUUUUAAUAGCAUAAAUUAGGAUAUGAAGAGGAUAGUAUUUAGAACAAGUGAAGAUUAUUAAUUAAAUAAAAAAAUUUACAAUACUUGUACACAAAAAUUGCAAAACAGUUUCUUCUCUUGUUCUAUUUCUUGGAAAAUUUGAACUCUCAUUUUCUAAUAAAAUGUUUGUUUGAAAUAUUAAUCAAGUUUAGUAAAAAUAAUUGAGUUUAAUGGUAUAUUUUUAGAAGCAAGUUUUUUUAAUAAUAAAAAAGUGAGAAAAUUGGGAAUUUUUUUAAAUAAUAAUAUAAAAAAUAUAGUAGAAGAGAGAGUAUUGACAAUAAUAAGGGUAGAGAAGUUGUGAACGAGUUUCAUGACUUGUUUGCCUACUAAACUAAAGUCUUGGACGGAGUUCACUUCUUUUUUCUUUUUCUUUUUUUUAUAUAUAUAUAUAUUAAAUAUCUCACUUAAAUUCUAAUUCUAAAAUAUUUUUUUUAUUAAACUUUUUCAUUCAAUUUUUUCUUUAUUUAUGUAUAUAUUAGGGGUCUUUUAAAAAAUAUAACGGUAAAGUAUGUAUGCCAUAUUGAAUAAUUUCGAAAACUAAAAAAUGCCACAGACUCACAAUGGAAAAUUUAAAAAAUGUCCUGAUUAAUUGGGAUCAAGCGCAAUUAAUUUGAAAAACAAUAAUUUAAUAUUUGAAAAAUGAUCAUUUAGGGCUAUCCAAUAUUCUAACGAUUUUUUUAUACGAUUUUUCAUAUUUGUCACACGAUCUAAACAACCAAAUAACCAUUUGAAUUUUUUUUAUAUAUAUAUUUGGUACACGGAACCAAAUAACAAUUUAAAAUUUAUUUUUAAAAAUUACAGAAAAAGAAUAGAAGAAAGGACGACCAAAAGAACUACAGACCUAAAAUAUUUUUAAAAAAUGGUUAACUUAAGGAACCUUUUCAUUUUGUUAUAGCGAACGUAAAUAUUACGUCAGUUUGUUAUAUUUAUAAAAGUUAACAUAAUAUCUCAGUCUCAAAUUUUUAAAUUUCUUAUUAAAUUCACAUUUUCAAAUUUAUUUUGAUUAUUUCCUUAUUAACCACCUAUUUAUUCUUUUUUUUCUUUAUAUAUAUAUAUUUAUUAAAUAUCUCAAUUUCCAAUUUUACAUUAUUGUUCUCAAUUUCCAAUUUUACAUUAUUGUUUCCUUAUUAACAAAAUUUUUUGUUCUUUUUUUCUUUAUAUAUAUAUAUAUAUCUCAAUUUUCAAUCAAAAAUAUAUGUUUCCUUACUAAAUUGAGACCACGAACAAUUUUAAUUUAAUUAUUUCUAUAUUAACAUUUAAUUUCCAAUUUCAAUUGUUCGACCUUCAAAUUUUUUCAUGAAUAGAAUCUUUUUUAAGGAAGUGAUACACAACUUCCAUUACGUAGGUUUAACUGGUCAAAUUAUGGGUGACGUGGAUUACUAGAAGUCGUGUACUUCAAAAACACAAAAGUACUCUAUUUUUUUUCAUAGUUUCUUGUUAUACUCCAUUUCUAAAAUUUCUUUUCAUACUAUCCUAUUUUUGUUAUUAUUUAAAAGAACAUUUUUUUUUAAAAUACUAUGAGAAAAUAUGUAAAUUUCAAUCAAACAGUAGAGAGUGAAGAAAAGAGAGAUUAGAAAAUGACAAGUUGGGAAUUAUCCAAAACAAUUUGAACAGGAAAGAACAAUUAAAGUUAUUAUUAUUAUUAUUUUAAAGAGGGCUUUUAAAAACUAUUUAGAUUAAAAAUAAAAAUAAAUGAGAAACCAAUAAAUGAAUCCCAAAGUGCAUUGGAACAAGUUGCAUCUUUGACUAAAAGAAUCAACACACUACAACUCUACAACAUUUUAUUAUGUUUAUUAUUACUCUUAUUUUUAUUAUUAAUAAUUUAUAUUUAAAUUUAAACUAUUGUUUCAUUUAAUAUUUAAUUCAUAUUAACUCUUCAACUUAAACCAUUUUACUUUCUGAUGUUUGUUUUACUCGCUUGAAUUAAGUAAAUGGAUCAAUAAAAAUAGAUGAUAAAAUAUAAUAGUGAUUCAAAUAACCACUUUUAAAAUAUAUAAAAUAAAAUAGACAUUUAAAAUAAUAUUAACUAAAAUGAACCCAAAAAAAUUUAAAAUUUUAAAAAGAACAAAACUAGGUAAUAUGGAAUUUUCAAAUAUGUUUUAGUUAAGAGUUCUUUUAAAAAAAUUGGAAGUAACAAUUUAGACUUAAUAAUUUUAUUUGUAUUUAUAAGAAUCCAUCUCCCUUUUAUUGUGCGAGAAUUCAAUGAAUAUAUAUUAACUAAUUUAUUCAUGUGUAUAUUCUAUAUACCAUAUAAUGAGUAAAUUUGUGUAACUAAACAAAAAAAAAGUAGUAACAAGAAUCAAAAUAUUCAAUAACACUUUACAUUUAAAAUUUGAAAUCAAAUACUUAAUGGUUUCUAUAUUCUUUUUGUAUCCUAGUUAUUGGGUACUUUUAACAUAAAAUUACUCUAAGCUAAGCGUAUAUAAUUUUGAAAUUACUAGUAAUUUUAAAAAAUAUAAAGUUUCAAUUAUAUGUAUUAUAUAUCAUCUCUUAAUCUUCCAUUCAUAGUCGUUAUUUAAGUUAUUAACCUAUUCAAUAUUUUAAAAAAUCGACAAAUCUUCUAAGAGAAACAACUAAAGAAAACUUAAAAGAUCAGUAGCCAUAAAAUUUUAAAAUUAAAUAUCCAAAUAGAGAGGUUGAUCUUAAAAGAAAAAAGAAACGUGCAUGUGAAUACAAAAUUUUGAAACUUGGAUACACAUAUAGAAAAACUUUUUAAGUUCAAGACUUACUGUAAUAGGAAUGGAAAGUUUUCAAAGACAAAUAAUUGGAUGAGAUACACAAGAAUAGUAAGUACUACCAGACAAAGCACCUAUAUGUAUAUAUAUAUUUAUAUAUGUAUGUAUAUUCAUAUAUAUAUAUAUAUAUAUAGAUAUUAGUCUAUGGGCAAUACCAGAGAAGCCCCAGUUUGUGGAAAACCACUUUUUAGACUGUUUGACAGAAAACCAGGGGGAGGAGAAGGAAAAGUCUACUUUUUAUUAUUAUGAAUGUGAUUUAUUAUGAUUGUGAUUAUUAUUUUAUAUCAUACUUAUAUUAUAUUAUUAUUUUGGGCAAUUUAAGUUAUGAGGGGUCAGGUUGGAAUCAGAUAAGUUUAGCAACUUGAGGUUGAGGCAGCUUCCAAUAAUAAUAAUAAUAAUAAUAAUAAUUCCCAUCCCCCACCAUAUCUCUCACAAUUCCCUUCCCCUUUUUUAUAUUUAUUUUUCCUCAUCAAUGCAUUUAAUUUCUUUACAUUUUUCUAAUCAAAACCCUUUUUUUUUCUUUUUUUUUUUUAGUUUACAAAGUUUGUGUCAUAUCAAAAACAUUGUUAAAAUUAUUUGAUUUGAUGUGACCUUGUGGUAAAUUCAGAGAACAUUAUACAAUAAUUCAAUUACUUGUUUAUUAUUGCAUAAAAAUCAAUCCCAUUUUAUUAUUUUCUAUAUGGUAUACAUAAAGCUGAUCUUUUUGUAUGGGAAUAGGACAAAUUUUUUAGCUGAAGAAAAAGAGUACUGUAUACAUUAGAAAAAGACAAAUAAAAUAUCUUGUAACCCCACAAUAUUAUGAAAUAUAAUUUGGUGUUUUCCCACCUUCUAGGGUGGCAACCACUUCAAUAUGAGCAACCCCUUCAUGAUUGGAAAAUCUCAUGUAACUAUGUGUGUAUGUGUAUGUAUCUAAUAUGUAUACCUAUGGAUUUUCUUUUUCUUUUUCCUUUUUCCUUUUUUAGUGGGUUUUUUAUAUUAUAAUCUUUCAUUUGCGUAAUUACUUUUUGCAUUAGUCAUUUUCUGACUUUUUGGGAUUGAGCCCAUAUGUCUCUCCUUUAUAACAUAAUAAUUUUAGAAUACAUCAAUUGAAUAAUUGCUUCAUUUUUGUAUAUAAAACAAAUCGGCUUGAUGGCAAAAUGUUAACAAACAGGUGAAUCUAUAAGGACGUGACAAUUCAUUUUUACAUUUUAAUGUUUACUUUUACAUUGUUAGUUUAUUAUUAUUUACUAUUAACUUACUUUUUACUCUAAAUAAUAAAAUACUUAAAAUAUUUAUUAAAUAAUUUACAUGAUUCUAGACUCUAUUCAUCUAUCAAUUCUAUCCAUAUGAAGGAUUGAUGUUAAUAAAUCUAAAAUUUUGUUAUGUUUAUAAAUAUGUUGGUGCAUUUUUGCCAUAUUUGAAAAUGUUUGUUUUCUUUAUUAUAUGUAAUAGAUUUUUCGUAUUUAUUUGAUUAUCAUCCUUUUAUUUUUGUUAAGUAUGUUGAAUAAAUCUUAAUAUUAGUCUUUAGUUUCUUAUUUGUUUUUUCAAGCAAUUUUGUCUCUUUAAACAUGCUUUUCCUUCUUAUAAACUAUGAUAAUAUAUAUAAUAAGAAUUUAGUAGAUUAAUUAGAUUUUUCAUAAAUAAUAAAAAAAAAUUGUAAGCUCAAUACUUUUAUACAAAGUCUACAUAAAAUUAUAUAUAUAAAAAAACAAACCCAUGAUUUUGACGAUUUCUUACAUAGAAACUAAAUAGUUGUUAGAAUUAAAUUGUUAUAAAACUUAAAGUUCAAAAAUAAAAUGAUUAUAAAUUAAAGUUUAAAGAUAAAAUUGUCAAAUUUUCUUUUUAUAAAUAUUAAGGAGGAAAAUAGAUUUUUCUUAAAAAGAAAAAAUCUAAAAAGUAAAAAGGGUAGAAGCAAUUCUCUUAAUUGAACUCUUGGAUAUGAAACUAUAAGUAGUUUUGAAGCCACCCUUAAAAUAGUUGAAUAUUAGAUUUAAAUAUGUGGGGACAAAAGACCACUAAUUUCUUUGAAAUUAAAAAGGGGCCGAUAAGAAUAGGCUUUGAAAUUCAAACUAUUUAUUAAUGAGUUCUUUUUCUAAGUUUGGUAGAAAUUAAUACUAAGCUCAUGAAGCAUCUUUUUUGACCAACGAAAAAUCAAAUCAACAAUUCUUCUAAUAAAUUAAUCAAUUUGUACAAAUUUGAUCAAGGUUUUUCUGUUGUUCAAUUUUAGGUGACAAAAUUCAUACGUAAUUAAUUUGUAUGGUGCGAUUAGACCUUAUCCUUUUAAGGUCAAUAAUAUCGACAUCCAAAACCUUUUUAUAAGUAUGCAAAUUUUUAAAAUUUCAACUAAUUAAAUAAAUAUGUUUAUAAUUUGCGUUGAUCAAAUUAGCACGCAUAUUUUUAAAAUUUGUUAUUUUUCUUAUAAAUUUAUUUGGGACGUUUAUGAAAUAUUUAGAUAAACAAGUGCAAGUUAUAUAUAUAAUACAAAUAUUUAUACUCUAGUGUUUCACUUUAAACACAAACUUCUAUUUGUUAAUUGUAACUAAUAAUUCUCAUAUUUCACAUUGUUUUUAAAGUUAUAGUUAUGUUCUCUUAAUUAGGAUAAUUCUCAUAUUUCACAUUGUUUUUAAAAGCUAUGUUCUCUUAAUUAGGUAGACAUUUAGAUGACAAAUGAAUCAAGUUGACAUAUUAAUAUUAUUUUUUAAAAUUUUAUAAUAUUGACCCUUUCAUAUUUCAACGCUAAAAGUUAUCAUUUUUCUUUCUAAAAAAAUCAAUCACAAUUAAUAAAAGGUUGAAGAUCAACACUCAAUUAUUAUACAUAUACACAUAAAAUAGGAUUAAUUUGAAACAAUUUAGAAUCUAUCCUAAGUUGAUUUGAUCGUAUAUUAAACUUUAAAGAAAAAAAAAUUGAUGGUUGAGAUGAAAAGGUUAGUAUUUAUUUAUUAUAGGCAUGAAGAGUCAAGAUCCCCCAAAUGUUGAUUAAAGAAAUAAUUAACAAUUAAGAAAUCAAAGUGAUAUUUUGAUUUAAAAAAGAAAAAUAAAGAAUAAAAAAAGUCAUGGUAUGUUAAUUAAUACACGUGGUCCAACCAAAAACACGUUGGGUGGGGCUUACUAAAACUACGAAAGGGUGUGGCGACCCAUGCAUUCUGGGACACGUGUUUCAAUAUGAUUUGAAGUACACAUGCAGGUACAUCUUGUGUACGUACGUCAGUCUAAUUAUUGAGACAGAUUCAAUUUAUAUAAUUUAAAUUAACAAAAUAAAUAAUUCAUUCAUCAUUUUCUUUUUUUAUAAAUUAAAAUCAACUUUUACCCUUCCUAUUCCCAAAGAAAUAUAAAUGGGUUAAACUCUAUUAACCUUUUUUUUUUUAAUAGUUCAGAUAUUAUUUCCAAUAAAUUAAAAUUUUCUAUCAACUUUAGGCUGCACUUUUAUAUUUCUACUGUUUAUGUCAGCAUAUUCUUAUAAUCUUUGUAUUCAUUUCAUAUUCUUAUAUACAUGGGUCGUUUAUGUAUGUUAUUAUUAUUAAUAAUGAAAGAUUAGUUUGACUAAACUAAAAUUUAAGGAGGUUAGUAAUAGAAAAUUGUUAGGGUUGGAAAAGUAUAUAUUAGACAUAAUAAUGCUCGAGGUUUGAAUGAAAUGUAUAUACUCAUAAAAAUAUAUUGAUUAGAUUAGAAAAAGAAAUGUGAGUGAGAUGAGAUAAUGGAUUACAGCAGGGAGAGUGUGUGACAAUGAACGAAGAUUUUGGAGUCACGUGAAAUAAAGUAUUAAUUAAUUACUUUCAAUCAAUUAAUUAAUACUAAUAAUUGAGAUAUAAAGUAAAACAGGCAGAGCCAGUUGGUAUUGUAUUCCUUCCAUUUUCAUUCUCUCCUUCAUUUCUAUAUAUACAAAAUCAAUUUGUUUUAUUCAAAGUAUUAGUUUUGUAUCGAUGUGUCAACACUUUCUUUUAUAUAUGAGUUCAACAUUGACAUAAAAAUGAAAUCGGUAUUUUUAUUAUGUUGUAAAGAAUUCAUGAAACAUGGAAUAAUAAAUUGUUAAUCAAACACAUAAUACACUUACAAUUUAUUUAAGAAGCAUGUUAGACUUCUUUCUAACUACAUUUUUCUUUUGUAAAAUUGAAUAUUACGGGUUUUCUAAUAUAACAAAAAAAAAAAAAAUCAAUUUGUCAUUUUAAAUUUUACUGUAUUUAUAAAUAUAUAGGUGAUAUUGUUGAAAGAAUUUUAUUUUCAUUUAGAUUUGGAAAAGUCAAGUUGAUAUAGAAAACUCUUCAUCAAUUGUACUCUUUGUCAAGAAAGAAAAAAGGAACAAAUAUUAUGAGCUGUCGAAGGAAAGAUAUUUACCAAAUUGAAGAUGAGAUAAUUUUUCACGUCUUUAUUGGUUUUUUUCUGAGAUUUGAAAAUGUAAUAUUUGUUUGAGUGUUAAUUGACUUUACAGUAUUGGUUUCCUUAAUUAGAAAUGUGUAUGUGACAUUUCUUCCAAUUGAAUUCUUACAUAUACAUCACUUAUAAACAAUAGCUACCAUUUUAGAUUAGAUUAUUAGUUUCAUUUAAGUUUAAUUGUUAUCUUUUUCUUUUAUCAUCAUUAUUGUUAUUAUUAUUUCAUUUUGUUUUCAACAUUCUCUUGAACAAACAUUAGAAUAAUUGAACAAACAUUAGAAUAAUUACAAUGGAUAGUAAUAUUAUUAGAGAUAAUAAUAUAUAAGAGUAUAUAGCAACAUUUUUUAAAAAAUUGUAUAGAUAUAUAUGCUAUAUUUUAAAAGAUUACUAUCUAUGCUAGUAUUGUAUCCAAUGCUAAAUAACUUUUUAAAUAAAUAUUUACAAAACUUCAAAAAUUAAUUUAAUUCAUUUAACAAGUGAAUGGUCUUUUUUUUCAUGAAUACACAUUUUAAAUAUCAUUUUUGAUUUUGUAGUUUGAGCUUUCGUUAAUUUUAGUUCAUGUAUUCUCAAUAAAGAUAUUUAAAUUUAGUAUAUCAAAAUUGAUUAAUUAACAACAACAACAACGUUCAUAUAAACACAUAAGAGACAAUAUUGUUACCAAUUUUACAGCAAAAAUACCAAUGAGCAACAACUUUUUUCUUAAAAAGGAAUUCAGCAAGAAACUAUAAAGUAAAUUUAAGAUUGAUUAAGAGUACACCUACUAAAAAAUUAAAUCCUUCAAGUACAUCUUAAAAGUGAUAGAGUAAGUUAAUUAAAAACAAAUUUUUGACAAAUCAUAAAAUUUCCUAGGAAAACUCUAAAAGCUAAAAAGGUUGUGGACUUUGAAAUUGAAGAAGAAAAUAAAGUAAAAAAAAGAAAAAAGUAUAUAAUUAAACCCAUGAGCCACGUUUCAUUUCUAUAAUUUAGUUGAAUAUUAGCAAAUUAAAAAUGGCAUAAAACUUAUGGGGUUGUAUGUGUAAUUAAUGAUUUUAAAAAUGGUUUAAUUUACUUGAAAAAAACAUCUCGAGUGAGUGAAUAAGUCAACUUUGACAAUAAGCAAUCCAAAGAUGACCAAAUUCUAAUUAAUUAGUUAAACUAUAUAUUGAACUUCCCAAGGUGUUUGCUUCUGUGAAUAAAUUAUGCUUAUAUAUUAGCCAAUUAAAACCAUAGCAAAUAGCUUUUUUUGUAUUGUAUUGUCCAAAUAUAUAUAUAUAUAUGUAUGGAAAAAUUAAUGUACUAAAGUUUUGGAUCGGGUGCAAUGCUACAUGUCCUACUCACUUUUUUAAAAAAUUAUUGAAUUGAUUAAAAAAAAAAUUAUAUAGUUGACUUUUUAUAAACUCAAGAAGUAUUUGAAGGGUUAGUGAUCUUAUGUAAACUAGGGUUAUAUUCAACUUAGCUAACUAAGGUGUCAAUCUUCGAUUACGAUAUUGAUGAUUUGAAUAUCUCAUUUUGACAUAUUAUUAAAUUUGUGGGGAAAAAAAAUAUACUUAUAUAUUUAGUACAUAAAAUAUAUGUUUAUCUCAUGCUACACAAAAAAAAUUAAAAUUAUGUAAUACUAAUGGUUAAAUUUUUUAAAUGUGAUUACUAAAUUUAAUUUGGUUAAAGAAUUAUAUAUAUAUAUAGUUGUUUUUGAGUUUAUUGUUGUUGUGAAUCUUCAUCCUCAAGUUAUUGUUAAAUUUCUUAUUUCUAUUUUUUUAAUCUUAAAUAUUAACUUAUAAAUUAGAAAAUUUAAGACUCGUUUAAUAAAUACUUCCGAUUUGAUUCUUAGUAAUUCCGUUGUUAAACAUUAAAAUAGUUUAAGUUGUAUUGUCAAUUACUUUGCAUAUUAUCCUUUCAAUUUAGGUGUCAUGAGUUCAAUUUUAUUAUUAAAGUUAUAUAUAUGUUUGUAUUUUUAAAAAGGUAUAUUAUUGGGUGAAAUUUAUUGUAAAAUUGACAAGAAAAUUAUAAAAAUAGAGUUGACUUGAAUUUAAAAAUGGAUUUAUAUUAUAUGUAUAAUGUGAAAUUUUGAGGAGAGGUAUCAAUCCGAUGUAGCAAAAAGCUGAGAAUUAACUUAAUGCAUGAAUGAUAGUGAAUAUAAUCAUCAUUUGACAUUUUCUUUUCUCUUUUUAAUAAAUCAUUUGACAUUUUUUUUGUCUUCACCAAAAACUUUGACGAACUUUAUUAAUUAUAAAAUUAAUGAAAAUCAAAAUUCAACUCAUUAACUUGCAAGCUUUAUUUGAUUAAAUUACACGCCAUUAAUCUAUUAUAUAUUUAAAUAUGUUUGUAUGUAUAUGUGUAUAUCCAAUCCAAUUCCUGGAUAGAUCCAAACAAACUUAAUUCAAAUUUGUGAGGAUUGAGUUGAAUUACAAAACAAUUACAAAAGUCACUAUAUUUAUUUUAGUUCUUGAUUUUUCAAGUUUUUAUAUGUAUAGAAAUUAUCAAAAUCAAUAUUUUCAAAGUACACUGUGUAAAUAAAAUAAAGUAUAUAAUCGUAUUUUGCUUUCGUUUAGGUCAACAAUUAAUUUUGUUAUCAAAUGUUAUAGUGUUUAUCAAAUGAGAUUAUACUUAAAUUGAAAUAUUAAUCAAAUUAUCUAUUGAUUAACGACACGUUACUUUCUAGUUUAUUUGGUGUCAAUACAUUUUUAAUUACUUAAUGUUUACAAUACGAGUUAAAAUUAAUUUUAGACUGAAAUUGGAAAAUAAUUUAUUCUCGAAUAAGCUUGAGUUAUAUCAAUCCAACUAUAUAUGUUUUUAGUGAAGGUGAGUUUAGCUUGAUUUAAUCCACUGUUCUCGUAAUUUCUUUUUAUAGAAAAUAUGCCAUAUACUUCUAACUUUCAUUUAACUUUGUUUAAUCCGUAAUUACCCCUAUAGGCCCAAGCCCAACGCUCUUAUCCAAAAGACCAAAGGCCCAAUACUUUUCAACUCACACCCUUAAGUUUCAACCCACUUUUCAUAUCCAAAAAAAAAAAAAGAAAAAAGAAAGAGAAAAAAAUCACUCACUUUAGACCUAUUUUACACAAAGUAUCUAAAAACUUUUCGAAAAUUUUAAAAAAUAGUAGAUUUUACAAAAUAUUUACAACAUAUAGCAAAUCCUAUCGGUGAUAGUCAUAUAUGCUAUAGUGAUAUAGUGAUAGAACACUAUCGGAAUAAAAUCUAAAAUUUUAGCUUGUAAAUAUUUUAAUUUAUUAUUUUAUUUUUAAAAAUAUCCCAAAACUUUGUUUAUUUAUUAGUUAAGAUUUGGUCGAACCAUUUUAUGUUUGUAACAAUUAUAAAUACAAUUUAUUUUUUGAAAAUUCAUAUAAUAGAAUACCAUAGUUAUAUUAUAUCACAUUUAGCAUCUUUCAUAAUUAAUAUAAUAAAUAAUUCAGAUUUAUAUUUGAUUUAAUAUUAGGAUAUGAUACUUCAUUUUAAUAUGACAUCAAGUUGGAUCUAAUAUGGUAAUAAUAUAUUAAUUAAUUUCUACAUUCUUUCACCUUACCGACGUCUAUUAAAACAUUUAUAAAAAAAUUGGCAACACUAGAUUCAACUUGUAAUGAGACCGCUAUUUAGUCCGACGUCUAUUAGGACAUUUAUGAAAAUUUGGGAAUGCUAGGUGAGACACCCCUAGUUAGGUUAUAGUAGUUAAAAUCCAAAAAAUAAUUAUAUAAAAAAAUUAAAAUAAAGAUCUUCAAAGUAUAGCAAACUCUAUCGUCGUUAAACCAAUAUUUGUAUUAAUAGUCUAUCAAUGAUAGACUCAUAUUGUAGAGUACUAGAGUGAGCAUGGUCAAGUUUUUGAAAAAUGCAUACAAAAUAAAGACCAAUUUAUAUAAUCAUUCUACAUGGAUAAAAAAAUGUUAAUUUAAAGAAAUUGAUAAAUUGUUAUAAGUUACCCUCUGAUAGGCACCGUGUGGAAAUUCAAAAGGGAAAAUUGUUAGGGAAGCAGUAAUGGCAUAUUGGGUCGAAGCUUUGGAGCGUUAAACUCAAAACAAAAAAAAACACAAAAUUGAUAUUAGCAUUGCUUCCUAUAAUUUAAGCAAUGAAAAAACAAAUAAUACAUCUUCAUCAUUUUAAAUUAUAGGUUAAACCAAAAGAAUUUACAAUAGGAAGAAAAAUAAGGUGAAAACUGGAAAGAUGGAUCCAGAUUAUUGACGUCCAAAGAGUAAAAGAGUACACAAACCAUUAGAAAGGUGGUCGAGACAAUAAGAGUAGAUACGAAAUCCAGAGUCUUAAAAGACAUUAUAGAAAUUAGAGAAGAAGAUGGUAACGCCGCUCGCUAUCUGCACCGACACCAUUCUUGAAAUCGACCGACGAAGAAGAAGGCUCGGUGAAAAGAGAUGGCUGGAAAAUUACUUCCACUUCUUGAAUUUUCCUCCGCCAAACAUCCCGUGUUUCCCAUGUUUGUGUUUCCCAAACUUUCCGUGCUUGAACUUCCCAUGGUGCUUGAAUUUUCCACCGUGACCGUGACCAUGACCAUAAUGAGCAACACCAUGGGGGUA
This 18561-nucleotide long non-coding RNA is filed under the name Cucumis sativus (cucumber). RNAcentral's name for it is "long non-coding RNA (CSAT_LNC001416)". Lineage: Eukaryota; Viridiplantae; Streptophyta; Magnoliopsida; Cucurbitales; Cucurbitaceae. The record is from RNAcentral.